CCUACGGGAGGCAGCAGUGGGGAAUAUUGCACAAUGGGGGAAACCCUGAUGCAGCGACGCCGCGUGUGUGAAGAAGUCUUUCGGUAUGUAAAGCUCUAUCAGCAGGGAAGAAGAUGAUGGUACCUGACUAUGAAGCCACGGCUAACUACGUGCCAGCAGCCGCGGUCAUACGUAGGGGGCAAGCGUUCUCCGGAUUUACUGGGUGUAACGGGAGCGUAGACGGCCAGACAAGUCAGAAGUGAAAGCCCAGGGCUCAACCCUGGGACUGCGUUUGAAACUGACGGGCUGGAGUGCAGGAGAGGGAAGCGGAAUUCCGAGUGUAGCGGUGAAAUGCGUAGAGAUUAGGAGGAACACCAGUGGCGAAGGCGGCUUACUGGACUGUAACUGACGUUGAGGCUCGAAAGCGUGGGGAGCAAACAGGAUUAGAUACCCCGGUAGUC
RNAcentral lists this ribosomal RNA (440 nucleotides) under uncultured bacterium. Its description in RNAcentral is "partial 16S ribosomal RNA". It matches the Rfam family "Bacterial small subunit ribosomal RNA", at positions 338 to 795 of the family's 1533-position model. The record is from RNAcentral.